UGAUUCCGAGAAGUUGAUAAAUGUGUUAUUUGAGCUUGCAAGACGCCAUGCCCCCUCAACCAUAUUUCUUGAUAAAAUUGAUGAAAUCAUUAGUCAACGCGGUGAAGCACGCAGUGAACAUGAAGCAAGUAGAUGACUAAGAACUGAACUACUCAUACAGUUAUUAUGCUAUUCAUGCUGCUGAACUCUCCUCAGAUGACACAUUAUUUUAUUGUAAUUACGGCUUGCACUGUGCUUGCUGUUUUUGCAAUGGCUACAAGCCUGAGGAUGUACACAGCUUGCCAGCAUCUUCAAGCUCAGGCCAGGGCUCAUGCAGCAGCAACAACUGGAUGGCUUAACCAUACCGAAUUAUGGCUUCAUGUGCCACCAUCCAUAGAGUUUGUUCUAUAUGAAUUUCCAAAUAUAUGAAGAGAUUACAAGCACAAAGGAUUUUUCUAUACACACUAAGUUUAAUGGUAAUAAUUAUACUUGAUUCUUAAAGUUGAACUAUACGCUAUGAGUUCUUGUUUUUUUAUGUAGAUUUCUUAUGAGGAGAGAAGAAUAGUAGUUGAUUUUGAUUUUA
Non-coding RNA from Arachis ipaensis, 562 nucleotides. The record is from RefSeq and is a predicted model, not a curated record. Lineage: Eukaryota; Viridiplantae; Streptophyta; Magnoliopsida; Fabales; Fabaceae.